Microcebus murinus (gray mouse lemur) is the source of this 1407-nucleotide non-coding RNA. The record is from RefSeq and is a predicted model, not a curated record. NCBI's taxonomy places the organism in Eukaryota, Metazoa, Chordata, Mammalia, Primates, Cheirogaleidae.
ACAGGGAAGCUGCUCGGCAAAGUCCACGGCUCGACUCUGUCACAAACGUAUGGAGAGAACUGUGGCAAAGAGAUGUAGGAAGUGGACACUGAUUGUGCCAGUGGUUUUUCUAAAGAAUUGGUCACAUCUUAUACCACCUAGAAGAGAGCUACUAAGGCCGAUGAAGGUCUAAGCUCUUGGCAAAAGGGAAACACAAAGAAUUCAGGCCCUAACAGGCCUCCUUACUCGGACCCUCCUACCCGGUGGCUACCUAAACCAAACUUGGCUUCCCAGAAUUGGCUGACAGAGCAAGGACUUGUUUAAUUCGUCACGGGCUCCCGCUGACCUGAGGGCAUACAGGACCGUGCCGUUGGAGAAGAGGCGAAUGAGCCUGUUUCCCACAGUGACUUCGUGGAGGAAGGACUUCUUGGACUCCACGAUGUAGGUGUCUGGCACCCAGAGGAACUCCACGAGGCGAGCGUCCAGCGUGAAGCUCUUGUUGCCCUCGAACACCAGCCGCUGGUCCGUCCAGCGCUGUCGCAGAAAUAACCCCUCGUGGAUGCCACCGGGGACUGUGACAAUGCAUUAACCAGGAAGAAGAGAGGGAGAUUUCGAAAGAAGCUUAAAAACAUGUAAUCAGUAGGAAUCCGGCAAAGCAACUUGAUUAUUAAUUUAAGAAAACCAAGGCAUUGAACAUAGGUAGGAAUUUGGAAAUGAAGUUUUAGAGUAAAUGCAAUUAAAAAAUAAUUCAGUGUUAAUACUUGGUGGAAAAGGGGGAGAUCUUUGCGGGCAGACCCUGGAAGGUGCUGAAGGGGUGUGGCUGCUAAAUAGCUCUCUGCCCCUCUGGACAGCAAGGUGCAGCUCAAGAUGAGGAACUUGGAGUCAAAGAUGGGGGUGUUUGAAUCUCACACUGGCCGCUUAACAGCCUUGUGACCUUGAGCAAAUUGCUGGGCCUCUCUGUGCUGCGGUUUCUCACCUGUAAAAUAGAGUUACCGGUGCUGCCAUGGUUUGAAUGUUUGGUCCGUCCAAAACUCAUGUUGUCAUUUAAUUACCAUUGUAAUAGUAUUAAGGUGAGACCAUUAUGAGGGGACUAGGCCCUGAGGGUUCCACCCUUACGGCUGGGAUUGACGGGCGAGUUCAGGACGCUGUAGCCCUCUAUCUUGCUCUCGUGCCUCCGCUGCGUGGUGAUGCAGCAGGAAGGCCCUUUCCAGAAGCUGCCAGCUUGAUACUGGACUUCUCAGCCUCUACUGUGAGCAAUAAACUCCUGGUCAGUAUAAACCACCCAGUCUCCGGUAUUCUGUCUUAGCAGCACAAACAGCCCAAGACAUCGGGGUGGGGUUGGGUUGGGAAGGUCACAGCACCGAUUUAAGUGCUAUUGGUCAAUGCUAGAUGCCCUCCCCGAAGAAUGUAGGGAAUGGGAAACACACA